Molecule: ribosomal RNA, 397 nt
Filed under: uncultured bacterium
Lineage: Bacteria
Description: bacterial SSU rRNA
Rfam family: Bacterial small subunit ribosomal RNA
Source: RNAcentral
UAUUGGACAAUGGGGGCAACCCUGAUCCAGCCAUUCCGCGUGAGUUAUGAAGGUCUUAGGAUUGUAAAGCUCUUUCACCGAUGAAGAUAAUGACGGUAGUCGGAGAAGAAGCCCCGGCAAACUUCGUGCCAGCAGCCGCGGUAAUACGAAGGGGGCUAGCGUUGUUCGGAAUUACUGGGCGUAAAGCGCACGUAGGCGGAUAAUUAAGUCAGGGGUGAAAUCACGCAGCUCAACUGCGGAACUGCCUUUGAUACUGGUUAUCUUGAAUAUGGAAGAGGUAAGUGGAAUUGAGAGUGUAGAGGUGAAAUUCGUAGAUAUUCGCAGGAACACCAGUGGCGAAGGCGGCUUACUGGUCCAUUACUGACGCUGAGGUGCGAAAGCGUGGGGAGCAAACAGG